RNAcentral lists this unclassified non-coding RNA (407 nucleotides) under Hevea brasiliensis (rubber tree). The record is from RNAcentral. Lineage: Eukaryota; Viridiplantae; Streptophyta; Magnoliopsida; Malpighiales; Euphorbiaceae.
GUGGAGCUGCCUUACUCAUGCAGGGCUGGGUCUUGCUGUACCUGUGCUGGCCAGUUGGUUUCCGGAACAGUUGACCAAUCCGAAGGUGCAUUCCUCGACGAUGAACAAAUGGAGAAGGGUUAUUUGCUGACUUGUAUUUCAUACCCGAAAUCCGACUGUGUUAUUCACACACACAAGGAAGAAGACGUCGUUUAAUAAUGUUCGAGUUCAUUCCUCUUCGAGGGACCUUGAAGAUCGAGGGCGAUACAAAUCUUGUGCCGUGGACGCGGAUUACAAAAAUAAAUUAACAUGGUGAUGUUUUGUGUCUGGUUUAUGGCAUAACUCUUGUUGCAAUUUGUUCAAGUAUUUGGCAAACACCAUAUUGCUCUCUAAACUAUUGUCCAUUUGAAAAACUAUUGAAGUUUGGC